RNAcentral lists this unclassified non-coding RNA (607 nucleotides) under Hevea brasiliensis (rubber tree). The record is from RNAcentral. Lineage: Eukaryota; Viridiplantae; Streptophyta; Magnoliopsida; Malpighiales; Euphorbiaceae.
UGUCGAUUCAGGCAAUUCGAAUUCCAGGACACCCUUAUCGGUGUAUAAAUGAGUGUCUGCACCAAACAACUCCGAAAGAGAGGUAAAUUGUGUACUAGAGACUACGGUUUCCUUUUCUUUAUCGUCGAAGAAAUUCACAAUGAUAGGGUCCUCAAAUUUGGGAAUACUCCAGGGGUGAUCUCUAUCUGCUGUAUCACAUGCAAAAGGAUUUCCAUUUCUCUUGCAAGAAGUUAAAUGAGACGGGGCUUCGUCCGGAUCAUCUUUCAGAGGUGAAGCUCUAUUUUCAAGUUUGUUACUUCUUGAAAUAUCUUCGAUAAAUACAGAGUCAUCAAGUUCCUGGACAUUCCAGAAUUCGUUCUUCUCUUUUUCACACGCCAAAGAGUCUUUAGUGCUGUCACGACCGUUUGAAUCAAGCAGAUCUUUCGUUGGCAAGACUAAAGACUUGGAGUCCUUGCAACCAUUUGAGUGAGUUAACAUUUCAUCCGGAUUUUCUGUCAUUGUAGCCUUCUUUUUAGCGUGUUAAGUCAAAGCUUUCAAGUAGUACAUCAGUGGAUCAAAUCUUGAGAAACACACAGACGAAGUGAGGUAGAUACAGCUCAGAAACCGG